RNAcentral lists this ribosomal RNA (600 nucleotides) under Staphylococcus aureus. RNAcentral describes it as "bacterial SSU rRNA". It matches the Rfam family "Bacterial small subunit ribosomal RNA", at positions 67 to 642 of the family's 1533-position model. Lineage: Bacteria; Bacillati; Bacillota; Bacilli; Caryophanales; Staphylococcaceae. The record is from RNAcentral.
UUACCGUACCGCGACGAGACACUUAGAUUCUCUGAUGUUAGCGGCGGACGGGUGAGUAACACGUGGAUAACCUACCUAUAAGACUGGGAUAACUUCGGGAAACCGGAGCUAAUACCGGAUAAUAUUUUGAACCGCAUGGUUCAAAAGUGAAAGACGGUCUUGCUGUCACUUAUAGAUGGAUCCGCGCUGCAUUAGCUAGUUGGUAAGGUAACGGCUUACCAAGGCAACGAUGCAUAGCCGACCUGAGAGGGUGAUCGGCCACACUGGAACUGAGACACGGUCCAGACUCCUACGGGAGGCAGCAGUAGGGAAUCUUCCGCAAUGGGCGAAAGCCUGACGGAGCAACGCCGCGUGAGUGAUGAAGGUCUUCGGAUCGUAAAACUCUGUUAUUAGGGAAGAACAUAUGUGUAAGUAACUGUGCACAUCUUGACGGUACCUAAUCAGAAAGCCACGGCUAACUACGUGCCAGCAGCCGCGGUAAUACGUAGGUGGCAAGCGUUAUCCGGAAUUAUUGGGCGUAAAGCGCGCGUAGGCGGUUUUUUAAGUCUGAUGUGAAAGCCCACGGCUCAACCGUGGAGGGUCAUUGGAAACUGGAAAACU